UAGUAAAACGCUCUUUUCGCUAUCAAGUUUUUAACCCUUGGAUGAAAAAUUCUAGGGUCAGGAUGAUAUUAGUCGGUUAGAACUGAGUGGUCCCCCUAGGGUUGAGUGGUCCCCACUGGGUUAUAGUAUUUAAACCAAUGGUUAGAAAUAAUGAAAAGAGUUGAUCCAAAGGCUAAAAAACUGGUAGCAACAAUGAGAUUUUGCUACUAAUAGUAGCCCAGUCCAACUCUCUCUCUCUCUCUAUAUAUAUAUAUA
RNAcentral lists this long non-coding RNA (255 nucleotides) under Ananas comosus (pineapple). RNAcentral describes it as "long non-coding RNA (ACOM_LNC003692)". The record is from RNAcentral. Lineage: Eukaryota; Viridiplantae; Streptophyta; Magnoliopsida; Poales; Bromeliaceae.